UGGGGAAUAUUGCACAAUGGGCGCAAGCCUGAUGCAGCCAUGCCGCGUGUGUGAAGAAGGCCUUAGGGUUGUAAAGCACUUUCAGUCAGGAGGAAGGGUAGUAGUUUAAUACACUAUUACAUUGACGUUACUGACAGAAGAAGCACCGGCUAACUCCGUGCCAGCAGCCGCGGUAAUACGGAGGGUGCAAGCGUUAAUCGGAAUUACUGGGCGUAAAGCGCACGCAGGCGGUUGAUUAAGUUGGAUGUGAAAUCCCCGGGCUUAACCUGGGAACUGCAUUCAAGACUGGUCAGCUAGAGUCUCGUAGAGGGGGGUAGAAUUCCACGUGUAGCGGUGAAAUGCGUAGAGAUGUGGAGGAAUACCGGUGGCGAAGGCGGCCCCCUGGACGAAGACUGACGCUCAGGUGCGAAAGCGUGGGGAGCAAACA
This 427-nucleotide ribosomal RNA is filed under the name uncultured bacterium. RNAcentral's name for it is "bacterial SSU rRNA". It matches the Rfam family "Bacterial small subunit ribosomal RNA", at positions 355 to 774 of the family's 1533-position model. The record is from RNAcentral.